UGAGUUUGAUCAUGGCUCAGGACGAACGCUGGCGGCGGGCUUAACACAUGCAAGUCGAACGAGAAGCUCAGGGCUUGCCCUGGGUGGAAAGUGGCGCACGGGUGAGUAACGCGUAGGCAACCUGCCCUCGAGAGGGGAAUAACCAUCGGAAACGAUGGCUAAUACCGCAUGAAGUCCCGAACUGCAUGGUUCGGGAUGAAAACUCUGGUGCUCGAGGAUGGGCCUGCGUCGGAUUAGCUAGUAGGUAGGAUAACAGCCUACCUAGGCAACGAUCCGUAGCUGGUCUGAGAGGACGAUCAGCCACACUGGCACUGAGACACGGGCCAGACUCCUACGGGAGGCAGCAGUGGGGAAUCUUGGGCAAUGGGCGAAAGCCUGACCCAGCCACGCCGCGUGGAGGAAGACACCCCUAUGGGGCGUAAACUCCUUUUAUAUGGGAAGAACACCUUCCUCGGGAAGGCUUGACGGUACCAUAUGAAUAAGCACCGGCUAACUCCGUGCCAGCAGCCGCGGUAAUACGGAGGGUGCAAGCGUUGUCCGGAUUCACUGGGUGUAAAGGGUGUGCAGGCGGGAGGGUAAGUCAGAGGUGAAAGCCCACGGCUCAACCGUGGAAUGGCCUUUGAAACUGCCGUUCUUGAGUCUCGGAGAGGUCGCUGGAAUUCGUGGUGUAGCGGUGAAAUGCGUAGAUAUCACGAGGAACACCGGAGGCGUAGGCGAGCGACUGGACGACGACUGACGCUGAGGCACGAAAGCGUGGGGAGCAAACAGGAUUAGAUACCCUGGUAGUCCACGCCGUAAACGAUGGAUGCUCGGUGUUGGCCUCCCUAGUGGGGUCAGCGCCUAAGCUAA
RNAcentral lists this ribosomal RNA (849 nucleotides) under uncultured deep-sea bacterium. RNAcentral describes it as "bacterial SSU rRNA". It matches the Rfam family "Bacterial small subunit ribosomal RNA", at positions 1 to 855 of the family's 1533-position model. The record is from RNAcentral.